Molecule: long non-coding RNA, 657 nt
Filed under: Volvox carteri
Lineage: Eukaryota; Viridiplantae; Chlorophyta; Chlorophyceae; Chlamydomonadales; Volvocaceae
Description: long non-coding RNA (VCAR_LNC001714)
Source: RNAcentral
AGUUGUGGCUAAUAAAGUAAUGACCUUAUGACAUUUUAAACAUUUUUUCGUUACUUAUGCGGGCGUGACCUUGCCAGAGGAACCGCUGUUCAGGUUGAGGUAUGGGACCUGCGUCCGGCCAAGCAGUACGACACAUACGACAUGACGACAGCAGGCAGAAGACGUUAGCUUGCGUUUGCGCCGCCCUUGAGGUUGAGGUAGGGAACCUGUGCGCGCCGGAUUCGUAGGAGUACACGGAUAUAUAAAGUAGCGGAAUAUCAAAAUAUUAAAAUAGAGGGGAAGGAGGAACUGAAGUAGAGACGAAGAAGGUUGCUAAUCGAAGAAUUUUUAAUGGCUAUUGCGACUGCUAACGAAUAAACAUCACAUCCUGAUCUGCGUAUGCUACUCAUGGAACAGAAUCAUCCUUAUACAAUCUCGCCAGACGGGGAUGGCUGAACAGUCAUGUGUUCCAAGCUAGCCCAAUAAUAAGCCCAAUAAUAAGCCCAAGAAGAAGAAGAAACGCGAAAUCCAGCUCUUCGCCCAAACAGCUAAGGCUCGACCGCAUGGCCGAGUCAGUCACAUGGAUGCAGCCUAUGGCCCGUACCUAUCAUGGAAGCAAAAUAUCUGUGCGUCUACCAAUCUAUUCACCUAAGCAUAAUUGCUAACUGCCACUUUUUC